This 204-nucleotide long non-coding RNA is filed under the name Ricinus communis (castor bean). Its description in RNAcentral is "long non-coding RNA (RCOM_LNC002607)". Lineage: Eukaryota; Viridiplantae; Streptophyta; Magnoliopsida; Malpighiales; Euphorbiaceae. The record is from RNAcentral.
AGAGCUCAGAAUCAUUGACAAUGGUUGUUGAAAACACAAUGAAUGGUGGCAAGGCGGCUGCCUUUCUCAUUUUCACGCCUACCGUCGCCGUUCAUUACCACCGCUGUUGCUAGCAUGCUCACCGAAGCCAGCUGCACCUAUGACCGGCUUCAUGGCGCCUCCGAAGCCCGCCACCACCUGCUGGACGACACCGCUGCUUCUUCC